RNAcentral lists this ribosomal RNA (484 nucleotides) under uncultured bacterium. RNAcentral describes it as "partial 16S ribosomal RNA". It matches the Rfam family "Bacterial small subunit ribosomal RNA", at positions 30 to 507 of the family's 1533-position model. The record is from RNAcentral.
AUUGAACGCUGGCGGCAGGCCUAACACAUGCAAGUCGAGCGGAUGAACGGAGCUUGCUCCUGGAUUCCGCUGCGGACGGGUGAGUAAUGCCUAGGAAUCUGCCUGGUAGUGGGGGAUAACGUCCGGAAACGGGCGCUAAUACCGCAUACGUCCUGAGGGAGAAAGUGGGGGAUCUUCGGACCUCACGCUAUCAGAUGAGCCUAGGUCGGAUUAGCUAGUUGGUGGGGUAAAGGCCUACCAAGGCGACGAUCCGUAACUGGUCUGAGAGGAUGAUCAGUCACACUGGAACUGAGACACGGUCCAGACUCCUACGGGAGGCAGCAGUGGGGAAUAUUGGACAAUGGGCGAAAGCCUGACCCAGCAAUGCCGCGUGUGUGAAGAAGGUCUUCGGAUUGUAAAGCACUUUAAGUUGGGAGGAAGGGCAGUAUGUUAAUCCCUUGCUGUUUUGACGUUACCAACAGAGUAAGCACCGGCUAACUUCGUG